AGUAGUUUGAUCAUGGCUCAGGACAACGCUGGCGGCAUGCCUAACACAUGCAAGUCGAACGAAGCCUUCGGGCUUAGUGGCGCACGGGUGCGUAACGCGUGGGAAUCUGCCCUUGGGUUCGGAAUAACAGUUAGAAAUGACUGCUAAUACCGAAUGAUGUCUUCGGACCAAAGAUUUAUCGCCCAAGGAUGAGCCCGCGUCGGAUUAGCUAGUUGGUGAGGUAAAGGCUCACCAAGGCGACGAUCCGUAGCUGGUCUGAGAGGAUGAUCAGCCACACUGGGACUGAGACACGGCCCAGACUCCUACGGGAGGCAGCAGUGGGGAAUAUUGGACAAUGGGCGAAAGCCUGAUCCAGCAAUGCCGCGUGAGUGAUGAAGGCCUUAGGGUUGUAAAGCUCUUUACCCGGGAUGAUAAUGACAGUACCGGGAGAAUAAGCCCCGGCUAACUCCGUG
RNAcentral lists this ribosomal RNA (452 nucleotides) under uncultured bacterium. RNAcentral's name for it is "bacterial SSU rRNA". It matches the Rfam family "Bacterial small subunit ribosomal RNA", at positions 1 to 507 of the family's 1533-position model. The record is from RNAcentral.